UGGUGUGCCUCGAGAUUUUUUCAAUUAAAACAAUUACCUUGGCUCAAAAAAGGUUGAAAAACACUGCUCUAGAUCACUGAGCGGAUUUGCCAUUUACAUUUCACAAAGAAAUUAAAAAUUUCAGUCGUCCACUGGCUGUUAAUGCUUUGAACAGAGUGUGCAGCUGCUUUCCACUUACUGUACACAAAUGCAGGUACAUAAAGGAAAAAGGUGUAUGAAAUAUUGGUGGGGGUUGUCCCACCAAUAACUCCGUCCCCUUCAGGCCAGAGUUGGUGGGGACAUGUCCACACCAGUCCUUCAGGAAGUUACGCAUAUGCAAGAAAACCAACUAUCUAGUCACCACUAUAAACUUUAAAGUCAGAAAACCCUUAGUAAAAUCUAAAGAACAUAUACGUCUUUACAUAAGGCCGAACAAAUAAAAUAUUAAUGGCCACCUUAUCCCUUGAACCAAGGCACAACUGGAAAUGUCCACUUACAUCAAUAUACAGUCAUAAACAAAUGUAACCGAGUCUGUUGGUUACUGACAACCUGCAGAAGGAAGAGACCAAACGGCAAAACCAAAUAAAAUACAUGGUGCAUCUUUACAUCACACUAAUACUCCUUCAAUUUACAAACAAUACAGUUUUAAUUACUAAGUAAGCAAAUUACUUAAUUGCUGCCUUUACCUUUUAUAUUAUUUAGAUAUUAAAGUAAAAUAAAAUCCCAUUGUAUUUCUUUCAGAAACAAGAAUAUGAAAUCCAUAGCCAUCACCAACGUUAUGCAAUAGUAAAGAAAUGUUUGCUCUUAAUAUAUUUGUGUCCCGUCUUGAACUAUGUAGGAUUUUAACCUUAACAAGCAGGAACAAGUUACAGUAACCUCAGUUUAUGUCAAUACUGUAUUUAUUAUGUCAGAUCAGCUACAGUAUAGAUUUAUAAUAACCUUGGCCUGUUUGUAUUAUUAUUAUUAUUAUUCACUGAUCUGAACAAAAUGCAGUUCACUUCAACCUAAUUCAUUUAAAUCAGUUCAGUUUUCUUCAGUUUUAUCCAAUUUGGUUAAAUCAUAUUCAUUUAAUUUAAAUUUAGUUUAUUGUAGUUUGCCUCAGUUCAGUUUGAGCUCAGUUCAGAAAAACUCUGCUUAUCCUGGUUUAGUUGAAUUUUCUAAGUUGAGUGGAGUUCUGUCCAGCUCUCUUCAGCUUGGUUUGAGUUACAGUCAUUUAAUUUGAUUCAGUUUGUAUCAAUUUAAGGUUGAUUAUUACAAUUUCCUUCUCUAACACUAAUUUACAAUAAAAGCAGUCUAAAGGCAGGUUACAAGAAAAGUUUGUCCAGCUCAUAAAUAUUUUAUUUACAUCCACUUUAACUCAAUUCAUCUUUUUUUCAGUGUGAUUCAAAUGCAGCUACUUCAAAAAAAAAAUGUAAAUGAAAUAUAAAAUGAUUGAAUCUAAAUUCACCAAGAGUUUGAAGCUCUAGUUUCCAAGCUACAGAAUAACUACACUGCAUUGAGGUUUCUCAGAAGUGAAAAUAUGUUUGCUGCUAUACUGUUCACAUGCAAGAUAUGUAGUUAUACUAAAAAUGAUACAAGCUAAGAUUUGCAACAGUUUGGUUUUAUUCUGUCCUUUUUAAUUCCUGUAUUUUUUUUCA
Poecilia latipinna (sailfin molly) is the source of this 1616-nucleotide long non-coding RNA. RefSeq lists it as uncharacterized. The record is from RefSeq and is a predicted model, not a curated record. NCBI's taxonomy places the organism in Eukaryota, Metazoa, Chordata, Actinopteri, Cyprinodontiformes, Poeciliidae. The transcript has 3 exons.